Molecule: ribosomal RNA, 253 nt
Filed under: uncultured bacterium
Lineage: Bacteria
Description: partial 16S ribosomal RNA
Rfam family: Bacterial small subunit ribosomal RNA
Source: RNAcentral
UACGUAGGGUGCGAGCGUUGUCCGGAAUUAUUGGGCGUAAAGGGCUCGUAGGCGGUCUGUCGCGUCGGGAGUGAAAACUCAGGGCUUAACCCUGAGCCUGCUUCCGAUACGGGCAGACUAGAGGUAUGCAGGGGAGAAUGGAAUUCCUGGUGUAGCGGUGAAAUGCGCAGAUAUCAGGAGGAACACCGGUGGCGAAGGCGGUUCUCUGGGCAUUACCUGACGCUGAGGAGCGAAAGUGUGGGGAGCGAACAGG